GAUGAAGAACGUAGCGAAAUGCGAUAAGUAAUGUGAAUUGCAGAAUUCAGUGAAUCAUCGAAUCUUUGAACGCACAUUGCGCCCGCCAGCAUUCUGGCGGGCAUGCCUGUUCGAGCGUCAUUUCAACCCUCAAGCUCUGCUUGGUGUUGGGGCCCUACGGUUGACGUAGGCCCUUAAAGGUAGUGGCGGACCCUCUCGGAGCCUCCUUUGCGUAGUAACUAACGUCUCGCAUUGGGAUUCGGAGGGACUCUUGCCGUAAAACCCCCAAAUUUUCUAAUGGUUGACCUCGGAUCAGGUAGGAACACCCGCUGAACUUAAGUAUAUCAAUAAGCGGAGGA
RNAcentral lists this unclassified non-coding RNA (338 nucleotides) under soil metagenome. Its description in RNAcentral is "partial contains 5.8S ribosomal RNA, internal transcribed spacer 2, and large subunit ribosomal RNA". The stretch from base 1 to 120 matches the Rfam family "5.8S ribosomal RNA", at positions 35 to 154 of the family's 154-position model. The record is from RNAcentral.